AUUCCAUGAUGAGGGCACUUUCAUAAUAACUCUUUGUACCUUUCCCAUGCCUCAUACAAGGACUCAUCAUACAUUUUUUGAAGGCAGUGACCUCAUUCUUCAACUU
Molecule: non-coding RNA, 106 nt
Organism: Gossypium raimondii (Peruvian cotton)
Lineage: Eukaryota; Viridiplantae; Streptophyta; Magnoliopsida; Malvales; Malvaceae
Source: Rfam